Molecule: non-coding RNA, 148 nt
Filed under: Nomascus leucogenys (northern white-cheeked gibbon)
Lineage: Eukaryota; Metazoa; Chordata; Mammalia; Primates; Hylobatidae
Source: Rfam by way of RNAcentral
GCCAGGCAUGGUGGUGCAUGCCUGUAGUCCCAGCUACUCAGGAGGCUGGGGUAGGAGAAUUGCUUGAGCCCAGGAGUUCAAGGUUGCAGUGAGUUAUGAUUGAACCACUGCACUCCAGUCUGGGUGACAGAGCUAGACCCUGUCUCAA